CUGGCUCAGGACGAACGCUGGCGGCGUGCUUAACACAUGCAAGUCGAACGGAAAGGCCCUUCGGGGUACUCGAGUGGCGAACGGGUGAGUAACACGUGGGUGAUCUGCCCUGCACUUUGGGAUAAGCCUGGGAAACUGGGUCUAAUACCGAAUAUGACCGCGCACUUCCUGGUGUGUGGUGGAAAGCUUUUGCGGUGUGGGAUGGGCCCGCGGCCUAUCAGCUUGUUGGUGGGGUAAUGGCCUACCAAGGCGACGACGGGUAGCCGGCCUGAGAGGGUGACCGGCCACACUGGGACUGAGAUACGGCCCAGACUCCUACGGGAGGCAGCAGUGGGGAAUAUUGCACAAUGGGCGCAAGCCUGAUGCAGCGACGCCGCGUGAGGGAUGACGGCCUUCGGGUUGUAAACCUCUUUCAAUAGGGACGAAGCGCAAGUGACGGUACCUAUAGAAGAAGGACCGGCCAACUACGUGCCAGCAGCCGCGGUAAUACGUAGGGUCCGAGCGUUGUCCGGAAUUACUGGGCGUAAAGAGCUCGUAGGUGGUUUGUCGCGUUGUUCGUGAAAACUCACAGCUUAACUGUGGGCGUGCGGGCGAUACGGGCAGACUAGAGUACUGCAGGGGAGACUGGAAUUCCUGGUGUAGCGGUGGAAUGCGCAGAUAUCAGGAGGAACACCGGUGGCGAAGGCGGGUCUCUGGGCAGUAACUGACGCUGAGGAGCGAAAGCGUGGGGAGCGAACAGGAUUAGAUACCCUGGUAGUCCACGCCGUAAACGGUGGGUACUAGGUGUGGGUUUCCUUCCUUGGGAUCCGUGCCGUAGCUAACGCAUUAAGUACCCCGCCUGGGGAGUACGGCCGCAAGGCUAAAACUCAAAGAAAUUGACGGGGGCCCGCACAAGCGGCGGAGCAUGUGGAUUAAUUCGAUGCA
RNAcentral lists this ribosomal RNA (924 nucleotides) under Mycobacterium sp. Site4-B38. RNAcentral describes it as "bacterial SSU rRNA". It matches the Rfam family "Bacterial small subunit ribosomal RNA", at positions 19 to 958 of the family's 1533-position model. The record is from RNAcentral. Lineage: Bacteria; Bacillati; Actinomycetota; Actinomycetes; Mycobacteriales; Mycobacteriaceae.